GAUGAACGCUGGCGGCGUGCUUAAUACAUGCAAGUCGAACGGAAGCAGUAGCAAUAUUGCUUUAGUGGCGAACGGGUGAGUAACGCGUUGGUGACCUGCCUCGAAGAGAGGGAUAACAGUCCGAAAGGAUUGCUAAUACCCCAUGUGGUCAUUUGGAUUAGAUGCCUUUUGACUAAACGGAUUUAUUCGCUUCGAGAGGGGCCUGCGUCCCAUCAGCUAGUUGGUAGGGUAAUGGCCUACCAAGGCGAUGACGGGUAGGGGACCUGAGAGGGUGGCCCCCCACAAUGGAACUGAAACACGGUCCAUACACCUACGGGUGGCAGCAGUAGGGAAUAUUGCAAAUGGGCGAAAGCCUGAUGUAGCAACGCCGCGUGUGCGAUGAAGGUCUUCGGAUUGUAAAGCACUUUUUGGAGGGAUGAGGAAGGACAGUACCUCCAGAAUAAGCCUCGGCUAACUACGUG
This 461-nucleotide ribosomal RNA is filed under the name uncultured bacterium. Its description in RNAcentral is "bacterial SSU rRNA". It matches the Rfam family "Bacterial small subunit ribosomal RNA", at positions 28 to 507 of the family's 1533-position model. The record is from RNAcentral.